AGAAGGAACUGUUUAGAGACGCUCAGGUACACGGCAUGGGAAGUCUGAGGAAAGCAGGGUGAGAAGAGGUCACCAGGAGGUGGCACAUGGAGGAGCGUUCAGGUGGAAUCACUCAUCACAACAAUGCAGUGUCUCCGCAGCCCUGGGCAAGGGCUAGAUGAAUAAACGAAAAGACUCGAAAGCUGGCAUGUGUGAGACAAGACCUACGUGAUCCAGACACUGUACAAGGGUCUAUGGAAACACAUGGUUACAGAGUCAAGUCAGCUUCUGUGAAGAGCCUGAGCUAAGACUGUUGGCUGAAGACGAGUUUUCUUACAAACGUCAGUACUUAAUCUGGGUCCUAGACACUGGAGUGUGACUGCCUGCCGUGGGCUGAAAAGUAUGAGGAAACUGGGUGCACAGAUGUGAGAGGCAUGCCUCUGGAGCAGAGAAGAGUUGCAGCUUGAGUGAGAUUGUGCCCCUGACUGAUAACAGGCAGCAGCACUGUGUGGCCUGGGUCGCCCAGGGACCAUGAAACACGCAAACGCCAUCAGAAGAUGAUUUUUCUUCAUGGUCGUCUGACUGCAUCGCAAUGUUUCUCUAAGUAUUAGAUGCUUUCUCCCCUCUCCUCCCCAGUAACACCUAAGCGAUGGAUUUAAUCCAGACAACUGAAGGAAAAGAAUGAGAAGGAGAAAUGCUAGUCUGAAGUAAUUCUUAAAUGCAAAUAAAAAUGAGGAAUGUCAUCCUUCAAAACCCUGUCCAAAACUUCAUUAUUGCAAGCAACAAGGGUAAUGGAAUCAUGUACAACUUAUUAUAUUUUAUGCAUGUGUGUGUACUAUAUUAUAUAUAUAGAUAUAUAUUAUCUACCUAUCUAUGAAUGAGAGCCAGAGCAGUAUGACUGACUUGGUGUGGUAAAAAGAAAAUCUACAUGAAAAUACACUAUGGAUACUAAAAAGAAAUCUUUCAGCAAAGUUGCCUUUUAUUUUUUAUUUCUCAUUUUCCUUGUGCCUAGGGUAUCAUCCUAUUAUAAAUGCCAGAAACACUCAAAUCUGAAGAAGCAUAUUCCUGUUAAGAUGAAAAUAAGAAACCCUUAACAGCUUGUAUUCACACUAAGAAUGUUCGGUGGCCAAAGAAGUCCACCGAAAACUUACUAUCAGUUCCUUAUUAGCAAACUGAAAGUCCUUUCCAACAUUCUGUGUCAUUUUUAGAUACCCAGGAUAAAAGACAUUUAUUAUGAUGCUUCAAAAUAUAUAAGUAUGUAUGUACAUGUGUGUAAGUGUGUGUAUGUAUGCAUGUCAAGUUUACUUGGGAAAAUAU
Molecule: long non-coding RNA, 1296 nt
Organism: Tupaia belangeri chinensis (Chinese tree shrew)
Lineage: Eukaryota; Metazoa; Chordata; Mammalia; Scandentia; Tupaiidae
Exons: 2
Source: RefSeq, a predicted model, not a curated record